This is a non-coding RNA of Trichonephila inaurata madagascariensis, 74 nucleotides long. Lineage: Eukaryota; Metazoa; Arthropoda; Arachnida; Araneae; Nephilidae. The record is from the annotation of a GenBank genome assembly.
CUCCCUGUAGUGCAAUGGAUCGCUUGUUGGACUUCUAAUCCAAAGGUCGUGAGUUCGAAUCCUUACCUGGGAUG